GAUCCGGCUCAGGAUGAACGCUAGCGACAGGCCUAACACAUGCAAGUCGAGGGGCAUCAGGUAUCAGCUUGCUGAUACGCUGGCGACCGGCGCACGGGUGAGUAACGCGUAUGCAAUCUGCCUGUAACAGGGGGAUAACCCGGAGAAAUCCGGCCUAAUACCCCAUAAGGAUGUCUGUCCGCAUGGGCGGUCAUCUAAAGGUUUUCCGGUUACAGAUGGGCAUGCGUUCCAUUAG
RNAcentral lists this ribosomal RNA (235 nucleotides) under uncultured bacterium. RNAcentral's name for it is "partial 16S ribosomal RNA". It matches the Rfam family "Bacterial small subunit ribosomal RNA", at positions 15 to 244 of the family's 1533-position model. The record is from RNAcentral.